AUUGAACGCUGGCGGCAGGCUUAACACAUGCAAGUCGAGCGGUAACAGAGAGAAGCUUGCUUCUCUGCUGACGAGCGGCGGACGGGUGAGUAAUGCCUAGGAAUCUGCCUAGUAGUGAGGGAUAACUUGCCGAAAGGUAAGCUAAUACCGCAUACGUCCUACGGGAGAAAGGAGGGGACCUUCGGGCCUUUCGCUAUUAGAUGAGCCUAGGUCGGAUCAGUUAGUUGGUAAGGUAAUGGCUCACCAAGACCGCGAUCCGUAACUGGUCUGAGAGGAUGAUCAGUCACACUGGAACUGAGACACGGUCCAGACUCCUACGGGAGGCAGCAGUGGGGAAUAUUGGACAAUGGGGGGAACCCUGAUCCAGCCAUGCCGCGUGUGUGAAGAAGGUCUUAGGAUUGUAAAGCACUUUAAGUUGGGAGGAAGAGCAGUUAACUAAUAUUUGACUGUUUUGACGUUACCGACAGAAUAAGCACCGGCUAACUUCGUGCCAGCAGCCGCCGUAA
RNAcentral lists this ribosomal RNA (506 nucleotides) under uncultured bacterium. RNAcentral's name for it is "partial 16S ribosomal RNA". It matches the Rfam family "Bacterial small subunit ribosomal RNA", at positions 30 to 523 of the family's 1533-position model. The record is from RNAcentral.